CAGAGCAUAGCUAAAUUAGAAUAGCAUCUCCUUUACACCGAGAAGAUGCCCGUGCAAACCGGGCCGCACUGA
Molecule: transfer RNA, 72 nt
Filed under: Odontobutis sinensis
Lineage: Eukaryota; Metazoa; Chordata; Actinopteri; Gobiiformes; Odontobutidae
Description: tRNA-Val
Rfam family: tRNA
About the family: Transfer RNA (tRNA) molecules are approximately 80 nucleotides in length. Their secondary structure includes four short double-helical elements and three loops (D, anti-codon, and T loops). Further hydrogen bonds mediate the characteristic L-shaped molecular structure. tRNAs have two regions of fundamental functional importance: the anti-codon, which is responsible for specific mRNA codon recognition, and the 3' end, to which the tRNAs corresponding amino acid is attached (by aminoacyl-tRNA synthetases). tRNAs cope with the degeneracy of the genetic code in two manners: having more than one tRNA (with a specific anti-codon) for a particular amino acid; and 'wobble' base-pairing, i.e. permitting non-standard base-pairing at the 3rd anti-codon position.
Source: RNAcentral